CUGAGGACGGGCCCCUUAAGGAAACAAUGAGGCCGGGCGUGGGCGGGAAGGGAGGAGAGAGUGAGGGCAAAUCUUCACCUUUACGCACACUGUACAGCUUUAAGAGGACGACCAACACCUAAACCAACACUUCCUGACUUAAUUCUUGUUUGGAUGAGAAGGUGGAGUGUUGAGAGAAACAGAUAGAUGGAUGGAUGGGUAAGAAAAGGGGUGGAAGAGAGAAAUUAAAGUGGAAAUGCAUAAUGAGGGGGGGAGAGAUUUAGGAAAGAGGGUAAGGAAUGAGGGAAGAGGAAAUUAGAGGUAAAGGAGGGAAAAAGAAGGGAGCAGAGUCGAAUGAGGAGGAGAUGGAGGUCGAUAGUUGCAUAGACAUAGAUAGAUAGAUAUAGAUAAAUAGAUAGGUAGAAUAAUAGAAAGAGUGUAAUGCAACAAAUCCUGGUUAACAAUCGUCUUCACAAUAACAAACAUAAUCUUUAGUGUGGAAGAGAAUUAAGAUAAAAAUUUGUGGGUUGAGUGCUAGCCGGGAAGCAUUUUUUUAUUUUUUUCACUUUGCCUCGAAUUGUUCCUGUAAUGGCGAGGUUAAUGUUGCCUCGAGAUGGAUUUCGGGCAAUAACUUACUCAUUAAUCAGACCAAACGACUUGCACGUCUCAGGAGCGAGGAAAACAUGACAGGGCACUCAAUCUCCCUACCACGAGAAUGAUGGAAAAUUAGAGCAACGAAAAAAUCUUAAAUACGGUUAUAUACUUGGAGUUAGCAGGAGGGAGAGAUGGAAAGACAAGUAAGAUGAUGAUGAGGAAAGAGGUAAAUAAAUGAGAAGGCAGGAGGGAAGUACUGAGGAGAUGCGAGAGGAGGAAUACAGAAGAAAAAGUGGGGAAAAAAAUGCUUAAAGAAAAAAUAGGUAGCUUGUCAUCAUCAAAAGGAAAAACUGUGUGGUAAAAAAACUUUCCUCACCACAUUAUAAUACCGGUGAAAAAUUAAAGUGGAAAAUAAGGUUCAAGUUGGCAUUCAAGAGCUUCAAGCGUUUAAGAUUAAGAUUAAGCAAAAACUCGCUCGAAACUUUUAAACGUGGGAAAAUUUACGACUAAGAAUGCAUCAACUUUCUUUCCACAUAAAACCGAUGAAUCACUAACAAGUUGAUGAGCGUGAAUAUAAACACAGGUAAGUGACCCUUGAUGAAGACCCCUUAAUAACCUAUGCCCGGCCUGGCGUGACCUGAGGAGGAAGAGGGAGGGAAAAGGAGAGGGAGAUGGAGAGGGAGAGAGGGAAAGGAGAGAGGGAGAGGAAGAGAGGGAAAGGGAGAGAGGGAGAGGAAGAGAGGCAAAGGGAGAAAAGAAAAGGAGAGGAAGGGAGAAGAGUGGGUGAGAUGAUUUAAAAGGGAGGGAAGUUGGAGUAGGCAGGUAGGCGGAAAGGAAAUAAAAGGAAAAUGAUGAGGAGGAAAGAGGUAAAUAAAUGAGAAGAUAGGAGAAAGGUAUGGAGGUGAGGGGGGAGGAAGAAAGGGAGAGGAAGGGAGAAAGACCGACGAAAAGGGUGGAAGAGAUAAAUGAAAAUAUAUAUGCAUAAUGAAAGGGAGAGGGAGGUGUAAAGAGAAUAAAAAAUGAGAAAUUAAAGAGAAAAAGAGGAGGAAGAGGAAACUAAAGGUUGAAGGAGGAGGAAGGGAUGAUAAGAUAUGAAUGAGAAGAAAGAUGAGAAAGAAAGGAAGAGGAUAAUAGAAAAUAGAUAUGAAGAACAAGAUUAGAGAAGGGAGAAAGGAGUAGAGAAAGAGGUAAAAGGGAGGAUGAUAAGAGAGAAAAUAUAAAGAAAAAGAUAUGGGGAGGAGUAAUGAGCAGAGAAAGAGAUUUGAAGGAGAAAGAUGAAAAGAAAGGAAGAAUAAAGAAGAAUAAAGGAUAUGGAAUGAGCAGAGAAAGAGAUUUGAAGGAGGAGGAUGAGAGGAAAGGAAAAAUAAAGAAGAAUAACGGAUAUGUAAUGAGCAAAGAAAGCGAUUUGUGGGAGAAAGAUGAGAAUAAAGAAAGAAUAAAGAAGAAUAAAGAAAGAUAUGAGAGGAUAAAUUAAGAACACAUAAACAAGAGAAGAUAGGGAAGCGUGAGGAGGAGGAAAGAAGACGGGGAGUGGGUGGGUGGAGGGGGAGGAUAGUAGAUCACCCAGCAACACCACCUCUCUAGCUGGACAUCAAAAUACCUUCCAACCCCCCCCCACCCUGAAAACCCUCCCAGUCAGCAAUGCCUCUUGUAGCUGGUCUUACGUCUUGGCAGCAGCGGCCAUUCGUUCCUCGCCUUAAACACCAGACUUCGCUAAACACGAUUAUGAAGAGGCGGUGGGCGUGUGGGGCGCUGAGAAGAGGAGGAGAAGGAGGAGAGGGAUAAUGAGGAAGAAGAACAAGAGGAGGAGAAGGUGGAGGUGGAGGUGGAGGGGUGGUAGCUCUGGUUAAAGAAAAAAUAUGAUGACUGGCAGCUUUUUGUGGGAAUGGAAGUGAAGAAGAGGAGGAUGAAAGACUGGAGGUAGAGGAAAGUGGAAGAGGGAGGGAAGAGAAAAGAGGACUGGGGAGGAGAAAGAGAAAACUAAUGGGAGAGAAAAUGGGCGUGUUAGUGAAGGAAGAGGUGGAUGGAAGACUAGCGAUGGAAUGAAAGAGGAAGGGGAGAAAGAAGAGGGAGAGGGAGGAGAAAGAGAGGAGGAAGGGGAGGGAGAAGAGGGUUGGGGAGAUUAAAGGAGAACUAAGAAUAAGGAAAAAAGUCUGGAAGAGGAAGAAAAAGGAGAAGAGAGGUGGAGAAAUAAAGGGGAUUUAAGAAUAAGGAAAUAAGUCAGUUAGAGGAAGAGAAAGGAGAAGAGAGGUGGGGAAAUAAAGGAGAACUAAGAAUAAUGAGAAUGGAAAACUGAUAAAGGGAGAAGAAGAAGAAGAGAGGUGGGGAAAAUGAAGAGAAAACCAAGGAUAAGGAAAAUGAAAGCUUAGAAGAGGAAGGGGAGGAAGAAGAGAGGUGGAGGUAUGAAAGGAGAGGCAAGGGUAAGAAGAAUGGAAAACUCGAAAAGGAAGAGAAAGGAGAGGAGAAGUGGGGAAAUGGAAUAAAGAACAGAGGGAAAGGAAAAUGGAAGACUGGAAAAGAGAAAAGAAAAGAGAAAUGGGGAAAUAAAAGAAGAAUGAAGAUUGGAAAGAAUGGAAAACUCGAUAAGGAAGAGAAAGGAGAGGAGAAGUGGGGAAAUGGAAUAAAGAACAGAGGGUAAGGAAAAUGAAAGACUGGUAUAGGAAGAGAAAACAGAAUUGGGGAAGUGAAAGGAGAAAUAAGAGUAAGGAGAAUGGAAGACAGGAAGAGGAAAAGAAAGGAAAAGAGGGAUAGGGAAAAAAAAAAGAAAAAUCAAGAGAAUGGAAAAUAGAAUACUGGAAAAGAAAGAGAGAAGAAAAGAGAGAUGGAGAAAUAAAGAAGAGAGAGAAAUAAGGAUAAGGAAGAUGGAGAGAAAGAAUAAGAGAAAUGGGAAAAUAAAAGAAAAAUCAAGAGAAAGGAAAAUAGAAGACUGAAAAAGGAAGAGAGAAUAAAACAGAAUUGGGGAAAUAAAGAAGAGAGAGAAAUAAGGGUAAGGAAGAUGGAGAGAAAGGAGGAAUAAUUAGUACUAGUUGGGUAGAGGAGAGAAGAGGAGGAGGAGGAGGAGAGAGAGUGAAAGGACAGGUGUGGGCGGCAGGGGGGGGGGGGCAUCCCUAAGCGUCAGCCACUAACUCAGGUAAUUACUCCUCGCCCCCCACCCCCCUUCUCCCCUCGGCUCCUCACCUGGGCCAGAAAACUCGCGGGAAAUUCAACUUGGCGGGAUGUAAGUUCGGGCAAAAAAGUUAUGUGAUCAAAGGUGUGGGAGACUAUAAGGUGCCUCACACACACACACACACACACGCACACACACACACACACACACAUAUGACGUAUAUACCCCUCACCCCUCAAAAACCAAGCAUAUCCACCACGUAAGUAAAAAGUAUAUAGCCAUAACCAAUUAUUAUGAAGAAAAGAAUGACAAAAAGUGGGAAAAAUGAAUCCAAGAAAUUAACAGAAAAUCACAACACAAACACAAAACAAACAGAAAAACACAUAACAAACCCUAGAAAUUAACAGAGAAUCACAACACAAACAGAAAAAAGGAAACAGAAAAAGCAAAGAAUAAAACAUAAACAAACAAAAUGCACCAAAGAAUAACAAAAGAAAGACCAAAAACUUACCCAAAAAGUCAAACAGAAAAUUGAGACAUGAAGAGCAAGAGGGGGGGGGAGAGAGAGAGAGAGAGAGAGAGAGAGAGAGAGAGAGAGAGAGAGAGAGAGAGAGAGAGAGAGAGAGAGAGAGAGAGAGA
Molecule: long non-coding RNA, 4318 nt
Organism: Eriocheir sinensis (Chinese mitten crab)
Lineage: Eukaryota; Metazoa; Arthropoda; Malacostraca; Decapoda; Varunidae
Exons: 2
Source: RefSeq, a predicted model, not a curated record